Long non-coding RNA from Cyprinus carpio (common carp), 905 nucleotides. The record is from Ensembl. Lineage: Eukaryota; Metazoa; Chordata; Actinopteri; Cypriniformes; Cyprinidae.
AAGAAACAUAGUGAACUUUAAGAUGACAAAUUUCAUCUCUCCACAGGUCACUUCAGAGCCCUGCGGCUCUCUCCUGCAGAAGAGUACAAUCCUGUUAAAGCGUCGAGCAGUCAGGCGUACUGGAAUGUGCCGUGACAAGAAGAGAUCAGGUGGUUGAGAAUGGAAGUCCUGACCGAGUUAGCAGACUGACCUUUGACCCUCCAAGGAAACUUAAAUUUAAGUCUGAGAACUUCCUGAGAAGAGGAAAACAUCCCGUCUGUGUGAUGAAUGUCCUUUUUACCUUUUGUGUCACAUAAUACUCUCUCCAGAUCAACCAACUCCUAAAAGUCACAUAUUAAAACCUGUGGUCAGACACUUUACAUGGUGGGAAAUGGCUGCUUCUUGUCUAAAUUGGUGGUUCUUAUGCCGGUGGUUGAAAGUAUGGCUACAUGACACUAGAUGCAGUGAAGUACAGAAACAAGCUCGUGAAAAAUCCAGGUCACCAACUCGCUCAACUCAAAUUAAAAGUUCAACAUCCCCGAAAAACGGUGCAACUGUCCCAGACACGUGAAUACUGCAUUCUGAUGAAAGACUUCAUUUAGGAGCCAAGACCUUUGCAGUUUCCUGUUGAUAGUGGAUCACAGCUGGAGGUCAAAGGUCAUCUGUAUGUGUGUGUAUCUGUGUCACCUAACACUCUGACAAAGUGUCUUUCAUUUUUCAUUCUGUCCAACAUCCCUGAUUAUACUAUAAACAGACCUUUUUGCAGGAGAGCUGAAGAGAGAGAUAUUUAGCCGAUCGUGAAACCAUUUUUAUUAACAAUAUUUUCAUAAUUUUGAUAAUUGAAUUAUGUUUUUUCUUGCAUCUUUGUGACAACUUAGGAGACAUUGUAUCACAGCACCAUAAAUAAAAAAUAAGAAUGUACAUCA